GGCGAGGAGAGAAUCCUAAGGUGAUCGAGAGAACUCUCGUUAAGGAACUCGGCAAAAUGACCCCGUAACUUCGGGAGAAGGGGUGCUCUGUUAGGGUGCAAGCCCGAGAGAGCCGCAGUGAAUAGGCCCAGGCGACUGUUUAGCAAAAACACAGGUCUCUGCGAAGCCGUAAGGCGAAGUAUAGGGGCUGACGCCUGCCCGGUGCUGGAAGGUUAAGAGGAGCGCUUAGCGUAAGCGAAGGUGCGAAUUGAAGCCCCAGUAAACGGCGGCCGUAACAAUAACGGUCCUAAGGUAGCGAAAUUCCUUGUCGGGUAAGUUCCGACCCGCACGAAAGGCGCAACGAUCUGGGCACUGUCUCAACGAGAGACUCGGUGAAAUUAUAGUACCUGUGAAGAUGCAGGUUACCCGCGACAGGACGGAAAGACCCCGUGGAGCUUUACUGCAGCCUGAUAUUGAAUGUUGGUACAGCUUGUACAGGAUAGGUAGGAGCCUUGGAAACCGGAGCGCCAGCUUCGGUGGAGGCAUCGGUGGGAUACUACCCUGGCUGUAUUGACCUUCUAACCCGCCGCCCUUAUCGGGCGGGGAGACAGUGUCAGGUGGGCAGUUUGACUGGGGCGGUCGCCUCCUAAAAGGUAACGGAGGCGCCCAAAGGUUCCCUCAGAAUGGUUGGAAAUCAUUCGCAGAGUGUAAAGGCACAAGGGAGCUUGACUGCGAGACCUACAAGUCGAGCAGGGACGAAAGUCGGGCUUAGUGAUCCGGUGGUUCCGCAUGGAAGGGCCAUCGCUCAACGGAUAAAAGCUACCCCGGGGAUAACAGGCUUAUCUCCCCCAAGAGUCCACAUCGACGGGGAGGUUUGGCACCUCGAUGUCGGCUCAUCGCAUCCUGGGGCUGUAGUCGGUCCCAAGGGUUGGGCUGUUCGCCCAUUAAAGCGGUACGCGAGCUGGGUUCAGAACGUCGUGAGACAGUUCGGUCCCUAUCCGUCGCGGGCGCAGGAAAUUUGAGAGGAGCUGUCCUUAGUACGAGAGGACCGGGAUGGACGCACCGCUGGUGUACCAGUUGUUCUGCCAAGGGCAUCGCUGGGUAGCUAUGUGCGGACGGGAUAAGUGCUGAAAGCAUCUAAGCAUGAAGCCCCCCUCAAGAUGAGAUUUCCCAUUCCGCAAGGAAGUAAGAUCCCUGAAAGAUGAUCAGGUUGAUAGGUCUGAGGUGGAAGUGUGGCGACACAUGGAGCUGACAGAUACUAAU
Molecule: ribosomal RNA, 1242 nt
Filed under: human gut metagenome
Description: bacterial LSU rRNA
Rfam family: Bacterial large subunit ribosomal RNA
Source: RNAcentral